UUAGAGUUGGUUCCUGGCUCAGGACGAACGCCGGCGCGGUCCCUAAUACAUGCAAGUCGAGCGGACCGACGGGAGCUAGUUCCUUUAGGUCAGCGGCGGAGGGGUGAGUAACACGUGGGUAACCUGCCUGUAAGACUGGGAUAACUCCGGGAAACCGGGGUUAAUACGGGAUGCUUGAUUGAACCGCAUGGUUCAAUCAUAAAAGGUGGCUUUUAGCUACCACUUACAGAUGGACCCGCGGCGCAUUAGCUAGUUGGUGAGGUAACGGCUCACCAAGGCGACGAUGCGUAGCCGACAUGAGAGGGUGAUCGGCCACACUGGGACUGAGACACGGCCCAGAAUCCUACGGGAGGCAGCAGUAGGGAAUCUUCCGCAAUGGACGAAAGUCUGACGGAGCAACGCCGCGUGAGUGAUGAAGGUUUUCGGAUCGUAAAACUCUGUUGUUAGGGAAGAACAAGUACCGUUCGAAUAGGGCGGUACCUUGACGGUACCUAACCAGAAAGCCACGGCUAACUACGUGCCAGCAGCCGCGGUAAUACGUAGGUGGCAAGCGUUGUCCGGAAUUAUUGGGCGUAAAGCGCGCGCAGGCGGUUUCUUAAGUCUGAUGUGAAAGCCCCCGGCUCAACCGGGGAGGGUCAUUGGAAACUGGGGAACUUGAGUGCAGAAGAGGAGAGUGGAAUUCCACGUGUAGCGGUGAAAUGCGUAGAGAUGUGGAGGAACACCAGUGGCGAAGGCGACUCUCUGGUCUGUAACUGACGCUGAGGCGCGAAAGCGUGGGGAGCGAACAGGAUUAGAUACCCUGGUAGUCCACGCCGUAAACCGAUGAGUGGCCUAAGUGUUAGACGGGUUUCCGCCCUUUAGUGCUGCAGCAAACUGCAUUAAGCACUCCCGCCUGGAG
This 898-nucleotide ribosomal RNA is filed under the name Bacillus licheniformis. Its description in RNAcentral is "bacterial SSU rRNA". It matches the Rfam family "Bacterial small subunit ribosomal RNA", at positions 1 to 878 of the family's 1533-position model. The record is from RNAcentral. Lineage: Bacteria; Bacillati; Bacillota; Bacilli; Caryophanales; Bacillaceae.